RNAcentral lists this long non-coding RNA (1935 nucleotides) under Equus asinus (donkey). RNAcentral's name for it is "lncRNA (ENSEASG00005029511.1)". The record is from RNAcentral. Lineage: Eukaryota; Metazoa; Chordata; Mammalia; Perissodactyla; Equidae.
AGGGACACACAUGUGGGCAGACACUGCAAAUGUGGCCCUAACAGAAUUUCCCCUCAUGGCUGGUUCCUUAAAAUGACUUGUAAGGAGGGAAGAUGUAUGUAAUUUUCUCCCACGGGAAAUACCACCUACUAGAAGAGAACUCCAGCAUCCCCAUCCCCAGCUCUGACCCCUGUCCUGAUCUUCCAUCCUUCCUGUAGCUGCCUUCUCUCUGUUCGUCUGGAUGUCCCAAUGUCACUUCAAUCUCAACAUGCCUACACAAACGUUGACGUCUCCUCUCCCCGCCUCAAUCCAGCUCCCUUAUCUAAUUCCCCUGUUCCUAAAGACUUAACAUCGCCAUUCUCCAAAGUUUUAAUAAUAAACUGAAAAUCAGUUUUUAUUAUUUCCUUCCUUCUAUACGUGAUCAAUCACCAUGUCAUUUUAUCUAUUACAAAGGCCUUUUGACAGUGCUCCCAGCCUCUGAUUUCUCCCCUCUACAAUCAGCGCUGUGCACGUAUUUAUUCAUUCAUUUAUUCAUUAAUGCUCCUCGAAGUAUUCCUGCCUCUGUAUGCUCGGGCUGAGCUCUGCAUUAGGGAUUCACAGACGAAUAAAACACAGUCGCUGACCUGAAGUUUCUCAAGAGCUCAGUAAAUACUUCAUAAAGUAAUACAUUGACUAUAUCUGUCCCCUCCUCAAAAUUUUUGGCAGCUCCUUAUUGUCUGGGAUCCAUAAUCAUUGCCCAAAACCUAUCUUGUCCUUGGCCUUGGCAGCUGUUUUUUAGGGCAAAUUCAAUUCAGUGCUUACAGAAUAAUUACUGUGAGUUGUAACUAGCCAUAUCGGAUCCUGGGUGCAUGCCCUAUACCUUCUCCUCUCAGAAUUAUGAUGCUGAGACUUGGGAUGCUGACUUGAGGCUCAAAACAAAUAGCAGAAUUGGCUAAAAUUAAAAUAUUGGUGAUAAAUCAGAUAGUCAUCGAGAGCUAGGAAUGCUGAUGCUGAGAGAACCGGAAAAGAAGAAUGCUAAUAAUAAUAGUAAAAUACUCUCCUGGAAUAUAAGAAAUCAAGAAGUUCAACCCCAAGUUAGCAGUUCUGGCACUUCUGAAUCAUGCUGGGCACAGACCCUAAAAAUAUCAGAAUGACUCCUUGGACAACUUUCAUUAUCCAUCCUGUUUGACAUUCCCUCUGGUAGGGGUCUCAAAGGAAAAUUCUCAAUAAGAACCACAUGAAUGAAUGAAAAAAAGAGAAGAAAGGGAUGGCGGGAAAGGAAAGAAAGGGAAGGGAACAAGAGGAAAAGAAGGAAGAGAGGAAGAAAGUUGAUGCUAUAUAAGCCUCAAUAAACCAGAGAGCUGCAAUUUCUCCCUUGGAGAAUAUGAAGAGAAAAAAAGAGGAGGCUAAGGAUCUAUAUCAUCUGUUGAGCUGGUAAUGGAACCAGUGAUGGAGUAUUCCAUGGCCACCAGGCUAUCACCUGGAUCAACUCCUUCUGCCUCGACCCAGCCAUUCUACCCUGGGAAGUGCCUCAACCACUGGCCAGGAAACCUGAGUUCUGUUCCAGGCUCUGCCACUGACCUGCUAAGUAAUCCUCGACUGCGCAUUUACCUUCUUAGGGCUCUGCUUCCCCAUGCGUAAAAGGGAGACAGUAAUACAUCCCCAUCCUCCACACGGCCCACUGCCCAGGGGUCACAAAGAUCACACGAGACAACAGAUGUUUAAAGCUAAACAUGCUUUAUAAGCAUAAGACCUUAUAAAUGUUAUUUCUAUUUGGAUGGCUUGAGGAAAGAAAGAAAAAUAAUUUGGGGGGAGGGUAUUGACUCAAAAUGAGCCUGCCCUUAUGAGGGAAGGAAGAAGGGAAGGAUGGGCUGGGGCAAAUUUCACCCUACGGACUGAGAAAGUGCUCUCUUUCUACAUGUGCCUGGAAGUGUUGAGAUGAUCAGAGGAAAUGUGUUUAUGUACAAGCUAAGCAAA